AUUGAACGCUGGCGGCAGGCCUAACACAUGCAAGUCGAGCGGAUGAAGGGAGCUUGCUCCUGGAUUCAGCGGCGGACGGGUGAGUAAUGCCUAGGAAUCUGCCUGUUAGUGGGUGAUAACGUCCGGAAACGGGCGCUAAUACCGCAUACGUCCUGAGGGAGAAAGUGGUGGAUCUUCGGACCUCACGCUAUCUUAUGAGCCUAGGUCGGAUUAGCUAGUUGGUGGGGUAAAGUCCUACCAAGGCGACGAUCCGUAACUGGUCUGAGAGGAUGAUCAGUCACACUGGAACUGAGAAACGGUAAAGACGACUACGGGAGGCAGCAGAGGGGAAUAUUGGACAAUGGGCGAAAGCAUGAUCCAGCAAUGUCGCGUGUGUGAAGAAGGUCUUAGGAUUGUAAAGAACUUUAAGUUGGGAGGAAGGGAAGUAAGUUAAUACCUUGCUGUAUUGACGUUAACAAAAGAAUAAUCACCGGCUAACUUCGUG
Molecule: ribosomal RNA, 484 nt
Filed under: uncultured bacterium
Lineage: Bacteria
Description: partial 16S ribosomal RNA
Rfam family: Bacterial small subunit ribosomal RNA
Source: RNAcentral